CCGGCCUUGGCCUCCCAAAGUGCUGAGAUUACAGGUGUGAACCACCACACCCCACCAGGAUACAGUAUUUUUUUAAAAAGCACAUCCAGCCUUGGAUGGAAAACCACUUGAGGAGAGUAUGUUGUCUUAUUGGGUUCUGUAAAUACCUUACCUCUGCACAAGGCUGGAACUUUGAGAGGAGUCCUUGGCUAAAGCUCUCAUUGCUACAUGGCGACCUUUCAUCCCUCUCCUGCUUAAAGCUUAUGUUUCCUAAUUUUGACCUCAAUGCAUCUGUAUUGAAAGCCAGGCUUGGUCUGUCAUCCUAGGACUCUGUGUCGGUCCCUUUCCUUGCCUAUAAGUUGAGUUGGGGCUCAUCUUUGUGCCUCUGGAAAGUAAGUUCUUUGAUAGCUUGCUUAGAGUCUCUCAGUACUUUCCCUUGCCCUUAGAAUGAAUACUAAAAUAUGUGGCCUUCAGUGUAGACUGCUCAGGCCCCCUCUUGGUUCCUGGAGUCUGCCAUACUUCCUUUUACCACCAGGCCUUUGCACAUGCUGUUGUCUGCUGGGAAUGCCUUGCCUUUCCUCGUCAUUUAGUUCUCCUCUACUCAUCUUUCAGGCACUAGAUUGACUGUCUUCCUCGGGGGAGCCUUCUCUGACCUUGGUACACAAGAUCAGCCCCCGUGUGCUGACUUUGUCUCACUGAAUCCUUGCCCGGAGUCCAGCGCCUCCUUCCUGUCCAGGAUCACCUUCUGGUGGAUCACAGGAGUUGUCUUGAAUCUGCCUGUGCUGGCCAUGUAGUCUCAGAGACACCAACUCUGUCCCCCAAGUCCAUCACCUUGAAUGUGAUAAACACAUGAGCCAUAAGCAGCUUAAAUCUCUGCGGAAGGCUUGGCCUGGGACAGCCAUACACUGGACUGCUCUUACUUUAGCUUCAGAUUUGGGUUUUUAUUUCUUGCCUGGACAUCAUGUUCAAUCUGACAGAUUUCGUUUUUUUUUAAAUAUUAGGUAUAGUGGCCGGGCGCGGUGGCUCAAGCCUGUAAUCCCAGCACUUUGGGAGGCCGAGGCGGGUGGAUCA
Molecule: long non-coding RNA, 1050 nt
Organism: Cebus imitator (Panamanian white-faced capuchin)
Lineage: Eukaryota; Metazoa; Chordata; Mammalia; Primates; Cebidae
Exons: 3
Source: RefSeq, a predicted model, not a curated record